AAGCAGGCAUGCAAGUGUCCCCACAGGUAAGGAUAGGAUUGAAGUGGUGACCAGUGGACCUGGGCCCAUUUCUCAAGCAUGCAUUUGAUUUCUUUACUCAGGUGCAGCUUUCCUGGGAGGCAUGGCACCUGCUGGAAGGAAGAUAGUCGAUUCUCCUGAGUAAGGAAGGCCACGCAGUUCUGGUUUUGGUGUGGCCUGGUAUCCACAGUGCACCCUGUGCUGGUGGGUGGCUCAGGACGUGUCAUUGCAUGGAAGGAAGACCCUUGUCCAAGAAGGAUGGUCUUUGUCUUGUGUGAUCUUUGAGAUGCCAUGAGGCCCCUGGAUACACAUGGUGUGGGCUCCUUUGGAGGCUUUUGGAUUUCUCAUGAAUGUGGCGUUGGUAUGGAAGGAAGGCCAGUGACCACAAGGGACGAUCUUGAUCUUGGGAGAUUUUUGGAGAUGGUGAAGUGCCUGUAAACAUGUGUGUCAUGGUUUCCUUCAGGCUGGUGGACACCUCAGGACAGUGGCAUGGGCAUGCAAAGAAAGACAGAGGCUGCAGGGAUGAACUUCAUCUUGGGGGAUCUCUGGAGUUGGUAGGGAACCCCUGGACACAUGUGGCAUGGGCUCCUUCUGGUGCUGGUGGAUCCCUUUAUAUGGUGGACGUGAUGAAUUGGCCAGGCCCAUGUUGGUGA
RNAcentral lists this long non-coding RNA (671 nucleotides) under Piliocolobus tephrosceles (Ugandan red Colobus). Its description in RNAcentral is "lncRNA (ENSPTEG00000038863.1)". Lineage: Eukaryota; Metazoa; Chordata; Mammalia; Primates; Cercopithecidae. The record is from RNAcentral.